GAUCGUGAUGAGGUAACUGCGCAAAUAAAAUCGGAAACCUCCCCCCAAUAUCAGCACGGUUCCCUUCCCCGUCUCUGGAUUCAUCGCAUGCCCGGCGGCCGGUGGCGGAGGCAUCAUGACGACCUGAGCAAGGCAAAUCCGGCUGGUAGAUUCUCCAAAUCCGGCUGGUUCAUGGUGGCAAGAAUCCUACGAGUUCAUCUAAAUACACAUUUAACUUCGGUGGAGGAUAUACCAAAUGAAGGUAUGCUAGCUUUUUGAGUUGAAAUGGAAAAAAUACGUCUAGAAAAGAAAAUUCAAGAUGCUAAAAUCAUGCAACUAGAAGAGAAGAUGAGAAGCAUGGAAAGACAACCAAAUAAGGUAAAUUUCUAUCAACUGUAACCUUCAUUUAUUUUGUGGGAUAACCUUUCUGUAUUUCUAUCAUAGGAAAUUUCAGAUCCAAUGGCUACAAGCCUACAAGUUGGCUUGAACCUUCGGUCAUGGACAUAAUUCAAACAGAAAAUAGAGUGUGCUUGCUCCUUCUGUUGAUGGACCCCGACUUGUUAAAAAUGACUACAGAACAAGCCAAGUGGUUUAAAUGGUGCAGAUUUGCAAGCAUCAAACAACCAUUCUGUUCUAGAUAAGAACAAAGAAAAUAUGGUUCAUAAUGGUGGCAGUGCACGACCACUAGAAAAAUGUUCUGCUGCACACAAGAAUGUUAUCCAGAACAAAGAAACUUUUGAUUAGAAUUUUAGUGCACGGCAAGGGGAAAUAAAUUCCGUUGCACAUAAGACUGAUGUUGAGAACAAAGAAACUUUGCUUGAGAAUGUCAGCACACGCCAGGGAAAACUUAUACUGCAAACAAGCAGGUAUGAACUAAAGUAUUGUUGAAGAGCCUGAAAAAGGAUGUAGCUCUUUCUACAACUAUUCAAGAGAUAAAUGGACGAGUAUAUGGGUGCGUGGCAAGUAUACUGCAAUGGUGAUGUCAAUGUUUCGGGUCAUGUUGAUGAUGAUGAUGGAUGCUUUGAGUUUCGUUUAUGUUGUAGGAAUGGCAGUCCUGCUGGAUGUUUUUCCUCGGUUAAAUUUUAGUUAAGUUUUCGGGAUGUUGAUGGAUGCUAUCAGUUUAAGUUUUGCUGUCAAGAAAAUAGAUAGAUUAUGCAUCACAUUUGGAUGAUGUUCCUCUUGUAAUAUCCACUAUUGUAAUC
Molecule: ribosomal RNA, 1181 nt
Filed under: Triticum aestivum (bread wheat)
Lineage: Eukaryota; Viridiplantae; Streptophyta; Magnoliopsida; Poales; Poaceae
Description: partial small subunit ribosomal RNA
Source: RNAcentral